RNAcentral lists this ribosomal RNA (1200 nucleotides) under Triticum aestivum (bread wheat). RNAcentral describes it as "partial small subunit ribosomal RNA". The record is from RNAcentral. Lineage: Eukaryota; Viridiplantae; Streptophyta; Magnoliopsida; Poales; Poaceae.
AUGAGCAUCUCUGUGAACGGGCAGUCGGAGGUGCCGCCGGGGUUCCGUUUCCACCCAACGGAGGAGGAGCUGCUCACCUACUACCUCGCCAAGAAGGCGGCCUCGCAGCGCAUCGACCUCGACGUCAUCCGCGAUGUCGACCUCAACAAGCUCGAGCCAUGGGACAUCCAAGAGCGGUGCAGGAUCGGCACUGGCCCGCAGAACGACUGGUACUUGUUCAGCCACAAGGACAAGAAGUACCCGACGGGGACGCGCACCAACCGCGCCACCGGCGCCGGGUUCUGGAAGGCCACCGGCCGGGACAAGGCCAUCUACUCCGCCUCCGGCUCCGGCACCAUCGGCACGCGCAAGACGCUCGUCUUCUACAAGGGCCGCGCCCCGCACGGACACAAGUCCGACUGGAUCAUGCACGAGUACCGCCUCGAUGACGCCGCAACCCCGGGCAACAACUCCGCCAACCCAGCCGCCGGCAACGCUAGCUACCACUCCGGCUCCUCAUCGCCGAUGCGCGGCGUGGCGCAGGAGGACGGGUGGGUCAUCUGCAGGGUGUUCAAGAAGAAGAACAUCGUCGUGCAGCACCAAGUAGGCCAGAACGGCGGCGGUGUUGCCGCGGCGUCCAACAAGCUGGUCGGCGUCGGUGCCAUGGAGCGCGGCCGGAGCAACUGCUCAUCGACGGUGGCCACCGCCAGCGACCACGCCAAGGCGACCCAGAUGCAGCAGCAUCACGACGCGCUCGACCACAUCCUCAACCAGUACAUGCAUGGCCGCUCGACCACGACCCCGUGCAAGCAGGAGACCAAGCCCACCAACCCAUCAUCGCCAGCACUGGACGACCUGAUCGACAGCGCGUGCCACAACCGCAACAGCACCCUAUACCAAAAGUUCAUGAGGCUGCCGCAGCUCGAGCACGUCGUCCCCGGCGGCCUCCUGCCGCUGCCGAGCAAGUACGGCAGCGACUGGGACGCUCUCGACCGGCUCGCAGCCUACGAGCUCAACGGCCUCUCCGACCCCGCUUCGGCCAAGACAAUGAACGGCAUGUCCAUCGUGGACGAGCUCGGUAGCGCCACGGCUUACUCCGGCGGCGACACACUACACGCUUCCUCUGACACCAGCGACGGCGACCUGUGGAGCCUGGUGCGGUCGGUGUCAUCGCUACACGCCGACUUGAAGAUAACCUGUUUUAACGCUGUCGGAUGCUGA